RNAcentral lists this unclassified non-coding RNA (378 nucleotides) under plant metagenome. Its description in RNAcentral is "partial contains 5.8S ribosomal RNA, internal transcribed spacer 2, and large subunit ribosomal RNA". The stretch from base 1 to 105 matches the Rfam family "5.8S ribosomal RNA", at positions 50 to 154 of the family's 154-position model. The record is from RNAcentral.
GAAAUGCGAUAAGUAAUGUGAAUUGCAGAAUUCAGUGAAUCAUCGAAUCUUUGAACGCACCUUGCGCUCCUUGGUAUUCCUUGGAGCAUGCCUGUUUGAGUAUCAUGUAAUCUUCAAAGUAAAUCUUUUGUUAACUCAAUUGGUUUCUACUUUGGUAUUGGAGGUCUUUGCAGCUUCACACCUGCUCCUCUUUGUUCAUUAGCUGGAUCUCAGUGUUAUGCUUGGUUCCACUCGGCGUGAUAAGUUAUCUAUCGCUGAGGACACUGUAAAAGGUGGCCAAGGUAAAUGCACAUGAACCGCUUCUAAUAGUCCAUUGACUUGGACAAUACUUUUAUGAUCUGAUCUCAAAUCAGGUAGGACUACCCGCUGAACUUAAGC